RNAcentral lists this ribosomal RNA (628 nucleotides) under uncultured bacterium. Its description in RNAcentral is "bacterial SSU rRNA". It matches the Rfam family "Bacterial small subunit ribosomal RNA", at positions 41 to 666 of the family's 1533-position model. The record is from RNAcentral.
GGCAUGCUUUACACAUGCAAGUCGAACGGUAACAGGCCGCAAGGUGCUGACGAGUGGCGAACGGGUGAGUAAUGCAUCGGAACGUGCCCAGUCGUGGGGGAUAACGCAGCGAAAGCUGCGCUAAUACCGCAUACGAUCUAUGGAUGAAAGCGGGGGACCGUAAGGCCUCGCGCGAUUGGAGCGGCCGAUGUCAGAUUAGGUAGUUGGUGGGGUAAAGGCUCACCAAGCCAACGAUCUGUAGCUGGUCUGAGAGGACGACCAGCCACACUGGGACUGAGACACGGCCCAGACUCCUACGGGAGGCAGCAGUGGGGAAUUUUGGACAAUGGGCGCAAGCCUGAUCCAGCAAUGCCGCGUGCAGGAAGAAGGCCUUCGGGUUGUAAACUGCUUUUGUACGGAACGAAACGGCUCUGGUUAAUACCUGGGGCUAAUGACGGUACCGUAAGAAUAAGCACCGGCUAACUACGUGCCAGCAGCCGCGGUAAUACGUAGGGUGCAAGCGUUAAUCGGAAUUACUGGGCGUAAAGCGUGCGCAGGCGGUUUUGUAAGACAGGCGUGAAAUCCCCGGGCUCAACCUGGGAAUGGCGCUUGUGACUGCAAAGCUGGAGUGCGGCAGAGGGGGAUGGAA